This 403-nucleotide long non-coding RNA is filed under the name Capra hircus (goat). RNAcentral describes it as "lncRNA (ENSCHIG00010018907.1)". The record is from RNAcentral. Lineage: Eukaryota; Metazoa; Chordata; Mammalia; Artiodactyla; Bovidae.
CACUGUAAAAACAAACAAAUAAUAAUACUCCAUUUUCUUCAAGGCUCUUCCAGGCCUGCUGACAGCAAAGGGGGAACUUGACACUGCACUGGGGCCUGUGGGGCUUCUGCCCUCCCCGACCUUCUGGAGGCAUAGCCCAGGAGAACCUUCCAGAACACUCUGGAGCCCAACACUGUGGAGCUGUUCAGUGAGGCUCUGGCUUGUUUAGAAUUUCAUCUGAUUUGGGGUGGCCCAGGGGCUCUGAGGAAUUCUGGUCUCAGCACGAUCCUGGCUGGGAUUUACGCUCUGGCAUCCGUCACAAGCUCAAUUCUGGACUUGCUUCCCCUUACAUGUCUAUUCAGAUAAAGAUUUGGGGAUAGAUUUCAGAAAAAGCAAGGACAACACGUGGUCCCUUUAAGACGCG